AUUGAACGCUGGCGGCAGGCCUAACACAUGCAAGUCGAGCGGAUGAAGGGAGCUUGCUCCUGGAUUCAGCGGCGGACGGGUGAGUAAUGCCUAGGAAUCUGCCUGGUAGUGGGGGAUAACGUCCGGAAACGGGCGCUAAUACCGCAUACGUCCUGAGGGAGAAAGUGGGGGAUCUUCGGACCUCACGCUAUAAGAUGAGCCUGGGUCGGAUUAGCUAGUUGGUGGGGUAAAGGCCUACCAAGGCGACGAUCCGUAACUGGUCUGAGAGGAUGAUCAGUCACACUGGAACUGAGACACGGUCCAGACUCCUACGGGAGGCAGCAGUGGGGAAUAUUGGACAAUGGGCGAAAGCCUGAUCCAGCCAUGCCGCGUGUGUGAAGAAGGUCUUCGGAUUGUAAAGCACUUUAAGUUGGGAGGAAGGGCAGUAAGUUAAUACCUUGCUGUUUUGACGUUACCAACAGAAUAAGCACCGGCUAACUUCGUG
This 484-nucleotide ribosomal RNA is filed under the name uncultured bacterium. Its description in RNAcentral is "partial 16S ribosomal RNA". It matches the Rfam family "Bacterial small subunit ribosomal RNA", at positions 30 to 507 of the family's 1533-position model. The record is from RNAcentral.